Molecule: ribosomal RNA, 551 nt
Filed under: Cichlasoma grammodes
Lineage: Eukaryota; Metazoa; Chordata; Actinopteri; Cichliformes; Cichlidae
Description: partial 16S ribosomal RNA
Rfam family: Bacterial large subunit ribosomal RNA
Source: RNAcentral
AUAAGAGGUCCCGCCUGCCCAGUGACUAAAAGUUUAACGGCCGCGGUAUUUUGACCGUGCAAAGGUAGCGCAAUCACUUGUCUUUUAAAUGAAGACCUGUAUGAAUGGCACCACGAGGGCUUAACUGUCUCCUUUCUCCUGUCAAUGAAAUUGAUCUCCCCGUGCAGAAGCGGGGAUUCUUCCAUAAGACGAGAAGACCCUAUGGAGCUUCAGGCACCAAGACAGACUAUGUUAAGCACCCUUGCCACAAAAGACAAAACUAAAUAGACCCUGCUUUAAUGCCUUUGGUUGGGGCGACCGCGGGGAAACAAAAAACCCCCAUGUGGACUAGGAACAACUCUCACUCCCACAACCCAGGGCUACAGCCCUAAGUAACAGAAUCUCUGACCAUAAAUGAUCCGGCACAGCCGAUCAACGAACCGAGUUACCCUAGGGAUAACAGCGCAAUCCCCUUUUAGAGUCCAUAUCGACAAGGGGGUUUACGACCUCGAUGUUGGAUCAGGACAUCCUAUUGGUGCAGCCGCUAUUAAGGGUUCGUUUGUUCAACGAUU